Molecule: long non-coding RNA, 277 nt
Organism: Nothoprocta perdicaria
Lineage: Eukaryota; Metazoa; Chordata; Aves; Tinamiformes; Tinamidae
Exons: 2
Source: RefSeq, a predicted model, not a curated record
CACUGGCACUUGCAGACAACCAUUAUUUGCCCUGCUUCAUUUUGUUACCAAAAUCACUGAGCAGAACUGGGACCAAGGUAGAAGUCACCCUGGGGACCGAACAUGAAGCUAACCUGAUAACUGCUAGUUUUUAAUCAAACAUAUGCCUACCUUUUAUUAUUUCAACCUGAACUCUGUUUCUUGAACUUGUGCUGUAAGAUGUUCUCAGAAGUGAUGGCCAAAAGCUGUGGUAAAGUCACAGUGCCUGCGUUUUGUUCUSUCCAGCUCUGAACAAGCC